RNAcentral lists this transfer RNA (146 nucleotides) under Gimesia maris. RNAcentral's name for it is "tRNA-OTHER". It matches the Rfam family "tRNA". Rfam says of the family: Transfer RNA (tRNA) molecules are approximately 80 nucleotides in length. Their secondary structure includes four short double-helical elements and three loops (D, anti-codon, and T loops). Further hydrogen bonds mediate the characteristic L-shaped molecular structure. tRNAs have two regions of fundamental functional importance: the anti-codon, which is responsible for specific mRNA codon recognition, and the 3' end, to which the tRNAs corresponding amino acid is attached (by aminoacyl-tRNA synthetases). tRNAs cope with the degeneracy of the genetic code in two manners: having more than one tRNA (with a specific anti-codon) for a particular amino acid; and 'wobble' base-pairing, i.e. permitting non-standard base-pairing at the 3rd anti-codon position. The record is from RNAcentral. Lineage: Bacteria; Pseudomonadati; Planctomycetota; Planctomycetia; Planctomycetales; Planctomycetaceae.
CGCGCCGUAGCUCAACGGAUAGAGCACCGUAAACGCUCUGGUUUAAAACUUCGUCGAUCAUUCUUCACAAGAGACAUAACUGACUGCCGAAUGGGAGUACAUGAAAAUUAACCCGGAGGAUGUGGGUUCGAUUCCCACCAGCGCAA